Molecule: non-coding RNA, 291 nt
Organism: Vicia faba (fava bean)
Lineage: Eukaryota; Viridiplantae; Streptophyta; Magnoliopsida; Fabales; Fabaceae
Source: the annotation of a GenBank genome assembly
AUGGAGAAACUCAAAUUUUCUCGGCAGGUAGAGUGGUGGCAGAAGAACAUCAUCUAUCCUGUUCGAAGUCUUUGGAUUUCCAUCGCCACACGUUUUGGAAUUCGUAAAACUGGGCUGAAGAAGCUAAAAAAUGAUGUGAGGGCUUGUGAAUAUGAGGAUAUUCAUGUGAUGUGGGAGAUGUUGAACGGAAAUGAAUCAUUAUCAGAGUUUGUCACACCUAAUCAAUCAUCAUGCUCUUGUGUGUCAUCAUAUAUCAAUUGUAUCCACCAACCUGAUGUAGCCACCCCUUAA